CACGCAGGCGGUCUUGCCAGUCAGGGGUGAAAGCCCGAGGCUCAACCUCGGAACUGCCUCUGAUACUGUAAGACUUGAGACUAGGAGAGGGUGGUUGAAUUCCCAGUGUAGAGGUGAAAUUCGUAGAUAUUGGGAGGAACACCAGAGGCGAAGGCGGCCACCUGGACUAGAUCUGACGCUCAGGUGCGAAAGCGUGGGGAGCAAACA
RNAcentral lists this ribosomal RNA (207 nucleotides) under uncultured bacterium. RNAcentral describes it as "partial 16S ribosomal RNA". It matches the Rfam family "Bacterial small subunit ribosomal RNA", at positions 568 to 774 of the family's 1533-position model. The record is from RNAcentral.